GUGGAUGUGGCUCAGUGGUAGGGCACAUGCUCAACAUGCAGGAGGUCAUGGGUUCAAGCCCCAGUACCCACA
This 72-nucleotide transfer RNA is filed under the name Camelus bactrianus (Bactrian camel). It matches the Rfam family "tRNA". From Rfam's summary of the family: Transfer RNA (tRNA) molecules are approximately 80 nucleotides in length. Their secondary structure includes four short double-helical elements and three loops (D, anti-codon, and T loops). RNAcentral also lists the same sequence under 2 other names. Lineage: Eukaryota; Metazoa; Chordata; Mammalia; Artiodactyla; Camelidae. The record is from Rfam by way of RNAcentral.